AGGUGAAUUUAUUAGAAUCUUAAAAUGGGAAAGGCCUAAGGAGGACUCAAACCUUAUAAGCCAUAAAGCAAAAGAUUGAGAAGUCUGACCUCAUAAAAAUACAAAACUUCUCUGGGUGAAAACACCCUUAAAAAUUCUGAGGAAGAAGAAAAAAGUCAAACUAUGGAGGAAAUGUUGCAGGCAUUUGAUGAAAAGGUAAUUUUUCUUAAUUGACAAAGCAGUCAUCAAGAAACUCAGUAAAGAAAAUGAUUUUACUCAAUUGCACAGUGGACAGUUCACGAAGAAAGAAAUUAAAAUGGCAAAAAAAAAAAA
This is a long non-coding RNA of Galeopterus variegatus (Sunda flying lemur), 312 nucleotides long. RefSeq lists it as uncharacterized. Lineage: Eukaryota; Metazoa; Chordata; Mammalia; Dermoptera; Cynocephalidae. The record is from RefSeq and is a predicted model, not a curated record. The transcript is spliced from 2 exons.